UACGUAGGGGGCAAGCGUUAUCCGGAUUUACUGGGUGUAAAGGGAGCGUAGACGGCAGGGCAAGUCUGAUGUGAAAGGUCGGGGCUCAACCCCGGGACUGCAUUGGAAACUGUCCGGCUGGAGUACAGGAGAGGUAAGUGGAAUUCCUAGUGUAGCGGUGAAAUGCGUAGAUAUUAGGAGGAACACCAGUGGCGAAGGCGGCUUACUGGACUGUAACUGACGUUGAGGCUCGAAAGCGUG
RNAcentral lists this ribosomal RNA (240 nucleotides) under uncultured bacterium. RNAcentral's name for it is "partial 16S ribosomal RNA". It matches the Rfam family "Bacterial small subunit ribosomal RNA", at positions 524 to 763 of the family's 1533-position model. The record is from RNAcentral.